UAUCAUUUUACAACUUGAUUAAGCAGGUAUCUGGUGACUUGUUUUCCAAAUGUAGACAUGUAACCAGAUACCUGCUUAAUCAAGUUGUAAAAUGAU
Paramuricea clavata is the source of this 96-nucleotide non-coding RNA. Lineage: Eukaryota; Metazoa; Cnidaria; Anthozoa; Malacalcyonacea; Plexauridae. The record is from the annotation of a GenBank genome assembly.